Molecule: RNase P RNA, 223 nt
Filed under: Salmo salar (Atlantic salmon)
Lineage: Eukaryota; Metazoa; Chordata; Actinopteri; Salmoniformes; Salmonidae
Description: Nuclear RNase P (ENSSSAG00000044927.2, ENSSSAG00020078597.1, ENSSSAG00070029406.1, ENSSSAG00075034609.1)
Rfam family: Nuclear RNase P
About the family: Ribonuclease P (RNase P) is a ubiquitous endoribonuclease, found in archaea, bacteria and eukarya as well as chloroplasts and mitochondria. Its best characterised activity is the generation of mature 5'-ends of tRNAs by cleaving the 5'-leader elements of precursor-tRNAs.
Source: Rfam by way of RNAcentral
UCUGAGACAGGAGCCAAUGACUGCCCUAGCAGGGCAUCACCCUCUCUGGGUGAAUGAGUGCACAGAGAAUAUUGGCUGUUGUGAGCUGUCUUCACAGGAGAAACCAGCCAGUGUAGCUCUCCAGCACUUCUGGUGGAUGUGACAUCACUGGUUUGGAAUCACUUAUGGUUGGCAUAUGAGUGCAAUGUGUGAAUUGGAGUAUACCUCCAGAACCCAAUUUCAG